This 84-nucleotide transfer RNA is filed under the name Colletotrichum sublineola. It matches the Rfam family "tRNA". From Rfam's summary of the family: Transfer RNA (tRNA) molecules are approximately 80 nucleotides in length. Their secondary structure includes four short double-helical elements and three loops (D, anti-codon, and T loops). Further hydrogen bonds mediate the characteristic L-shaped molecular structure. tRNAs have two regions of fundamental functional importance: the anti-codon, which is responsible for specific mRNA codon recognition, and the 3' end, to which the tRNAs corresponding amino acid is attached (by aminoacyl-tRNA synthetases). tRNAs cope with the degeneracy of the genetic code in two manners: having more than one tRNA (with a specific anti-codon) for a particular amino acid; and 'wobble' base-pairing, i.e. permitting non-standard base-pairing at the 3rd anti-codon position. Lineage: Eukaryota; Fungi; Ascomycota; Sordariomycetes; Glomerellales; Glomerellaceae. The record is from Rfam by way of RNAcentral.
GGAUCGAUAGCUCAGUGGUAGAGCGAGAGAUUGCAGUUUCACUCAAUUAUCUCUAGGCCCCGCGUUCGAACCGCGGUCGGUCCU